UAUAUAUGCAUAUACAACUGCAUCAAGCAAAAGCAAUAUAUAGUUAGGGUAAAGUAAAGUAGCUAAUCAUGUUAUUUAUAGGUUAAAUUACAACUAAAAGAAAACAACUAAGUAUAAAGAACUACUAGACACAUAUAGGGGACUGAGAGCGAAACGAAAAUUUAUCGAAAUUGUCUAUUUGAGUUAUCAUUUGUAAACAUUCAAUAUUAAAUAACCUUUUUUCUCAACUAUAUUAAGAAAUUUUGCUGUAAGAUGGUUGAAAACUUAGAUAUAAAUGUUAAAGUAACAAAUAAAUCGGAGUGUAUCUUCAAGAAUACUUUAAAAAAUGAAGGAAAUAAUUUAAAUUCAUUAAUUUCCAAUUUAAAGUCCAUGCAACAAAAAGUUAACGAAGUUCUUACGGAUCUCGUCCAGGUUGAACAAAGCUUGAACCAAGGAAAAAAUCUAGGCGAUAAUGACGAAUCUGAUGAUGACGACGAUUCAGAUGAGGAGGAAAAUUCAAAACCAAAAAAAUGCAAAUAUUAUAGAUGAAAAUACUGAUGUCGAUUCCGUUCAUUAAAAAAAUGCGCUCUGAAGCCGCAUAUAUACGUAUAGUAUAGAGUGACUGAGUCGAACUUGGAAAGCCGCAAUUACGCGAAUGGCAGGAAGCCGUGGUAUACGUGAAUGUAAACAAAAACCGACAAGGGAAAGGAAUAUUGCGCCUUAAAAGGACGGAUACAACGUACUAUAAUUGAUGAAAAAUGUCGACAACUUUAUCGAAUCAAGCACAAAUUCGGUACGUUAUAGAAUGGUUCCAAGAGUGGUCAGAAAUGCAAAGAGACGAUUUUGUGGGUAUAUUACUGGAAAGAUGUAGUUCUUCAGGACUAGUAAAUGGUUUACUUACUGGUAUUGAAAAUCUUGGGAAAGAAAAUUCCAGUAGACCACCAAGCCUUUUCCAGUGUCGUAUUAAGCUCUUUCGAGAGUGGAGUCAAAAUUGGUCCGAACAAGAAAAGGAGAUGUUGGUAACGUCAAUCAAACAUAUGGAUCCUAAGUUUGCUGAAAAAUAUGAACAAAGGCUUACUGAAGGUAAUGACAGUGAAGCAGAGAAAGCAGAAGAAGAAUCAUAAGAGAUAAAGACUUAUACAUUGUAUUUUAUAUAUACGUAUAUAAAGAUGUAUAAUUUGUUUGAUUUUAAAAAAAAAGAAAAUGUGAGAGACAGAACUGCUAUUUUUGUGAUCUAUAUACGUUCUACAAAAUAAUAAGAUUGCCCUUUUUGGCAUCUAUCUAGUCUGUCAUCGGUUUUUGUUAAUCAUCGAACACAUUCCACUAAGACAGUACUUCACAAAAUCAUAAUUAUGUACUAUUUAUUACUUUUUAUUACAUACUUUCAUUUAUAUUAUAAUCUACCCUAACUCAUACACUGGUAGAAAUUUUUUUUUAGACUUCACAAAAAUUAUUUCGGAGUGCUAUUUUAACUCUGUUAUCAAAAAUACUGUAAUAUUACUUUAACAUAAUAAAAUUGAGUUGAAUUGAAAACUAUUAAAUUUUCACUGUUUUGUUAGUCUUAUGUUUAUUAUGUUAACUUUCCACCAGUGUAUAAAUUUAUUUUUGCGGACAGUUUAGUAGAUGCACAAAUACAGUAGAAAUUUCAGCUUGCACAUACAUUGCAGAUUAACAUAAUCAAUUACUAACAUUUGUUAUUCCAUGUAAUACAUAUCACAGACCCAUACUAAAAUUUGGUUAUUACAUGCCAGUACCACUAACAUUACAUCACUAUGUGGUUUGGCAGUCUCGUUACGCUCGAGAAAUUGUUAUUUCAUUGUAGUAUACAUAUUGUCGUUUUAAUUGUUAUUAAUGUACGACGCAACUCGCGACAAUAUUGAAAUCUCGCGAUACAAUAUAAAGUAAAACUUUUAAUUACUAUAUUCGCCCGUAUUGCUUAAAUAAAUAAAAUAAAAAUAUGAUUUACUGUGUAAGGACAACGUGCCCUAUUACACUUGAAUACAAUAAAAGCUUUGUAAGCUAAAAA
RNA transcript from Nasonia vitripennis (jewel wasp), 2005 nucleotides. RefSeq lists it as uncharacterized. The transcript is spliced from 4 exons. The record is from RefSeq and is a predicted model, not a curated record. Lineage: Eukaryota; Metazoa; Arthropoda; Insecta; Hymenoptera; Pteromalidae.